AUUGAACGCUGGCGGCAUGCCUUACACAUGCAAGUCGGACGAGUGGCGGACGGGUGAGUAACGCAUGGGAAACUGCCCAAUGGAGGGGGAUAACUGCUGGAAAGGGCAGCUAAUACCGCAUACCAUCUGAGGUGCCCAUGUGGGAUUAGCUAGUUGGCGGGGUAAAGGCUCACCAAGGCGACGAUCAGUAGCUGGUCUGAGAGGAUGAUCCGCCACACUGGAACUGAGACACGGCCCAGACUCCUACGGGAGGCAGCAGUGGGGAAUGUUGGACAAUGGGCGCAAGCCUGAUCCAGCCAUGCCGCGUGUCUGAAGAAGGCCUUCGGGUUGUAAAGGACUUUUGUCAGGGAAGCGGUACCUGCAGAAUAAGCACCGGCUAACUACGUGCCAGCAGCCGCGGUAAUAC
This 406-nucleotide ribosomal RNA is filed under the name uncultured bacterium. RNAcentral's name for it is "partial 16S ribosomal RNA". It matches the Rfam family "Bacterial small subunit ribosomal RNA", at positions 30 to 526 of the family's 1533-position model. The record is from RNAcentral.